This 253-nucleotide ribosomal RNA is filed under the name uncultured bacterium. Its description in RNAcentral is "partial 16S ribosomal RNA". It matches the Rfam family "Bacterial small subunit ribosomal RNA", at positions 524 to 776 of the family's 1533-position model. The record is from RNAcentral.
UACGUAGGGGGCAAGCGUUAUCCGGAUUUACUGGGUGUAAAGGGAGCGUAGACGGCGAUGCAAGCCAGAUGUGAAAGCCCGGGGCUCAACCCCGGGACUGCAUUUGGAACUGUAUAGCUAGAGUGUCGGAGAGGCAGGCGGAAUUCCUAGUGUAGCGGUGAAAUGCGCGGAUAUUAGGAGGAACACCAGUGGCGAAGGCGGCCUGCUGGACGAUGACUGACGUUGAGGCUCGAAAGCGUGGGGAGCAAACAGG